CGGCAUGCGCUACAACUAAGUGCACCACACCUCCCUCUCUCCCUUAUCCCCUCUCAUCACGUUCUCCCUCCCUCCCCUUCCUCCCUCGACUCCGAUCCAGAUCCAGGGCCAUGGUGCGCCCUCUUCCCCAUCGCCGCCGGCCACCAUCCCCACACUUUCUCUCCCUUGUCCCGUGGAUCCAUCUCUUCCAUGGCUGCCUCCCACACCGUCUCCUCCUUCCCCCAUCUCAUCCUGUUUUUCUUGUUUGGGAGCGACGAGGGAUUGGCGAGGCUGGAGGCGAGCACGUGGAAGAGCGGAGCGGGGCUGGCGAGGGGAGGGCGCGGAAGAAGGAGAGUGCCGCCGCCGGGGUGGGCGCGGCGCAGAUGCGGUGGAGCGCGACCAUGGGGUCGUCCGGUGGGGGCGGCGGCGGGAGGAAGGGGAGCGGAGGCGGAGGCGCAGCGAGUCAAUGAGGCAUCGCGUGGCAGAGGAGACGGCGGCUGUCGGGCAGGGGCAUCGCGUGGCAGAGGAGGCGGCGGCUGUCGGGCGGGGGCAUCGCGUGGCAGAGGAGACGGCAGCGGCGGCGAGACGAGGGACGCCCGAGCUCCUCGGCCCAGCUCAACAGAAGGACCUAGAAGCACUUUUUCUCAUACAUUGGCAUAUCGUAUCAAUGGAGCAUGGGCGACCCAUGGUGCACAUACAGCUUGCUACCGAAGUACCCAUCAGUGGCACAUAUCAGUGCUUUGUUCUUUGGAGGCAUAUACCCGAGGAUCAGUCUAAGUCAGAAGAGAUGAUACACAGACCAAAGCCGAUCUAGGAAGGGAUGUUGGGCUCUUGGCGCCCCCGAGUCAUGUCUGAAAAAAUCAGCACUGCAGAUUGUUUGGUAGUGGACUUGCCAAGUAUACAAGAUUUUCAAUCGCAAUUUUAUGAAUGGAGAAGGUAGAAGAUAGCGAAAGAGUGCUGCAGGAUAAUGAGAUGUUGAAGCGGCAGACUGAAUCCAUGACACCGAAGUGCAAUUGCGGCAGAUUAUCUCUAUCUUUUCUUUUCAUUUUUCUUAUUAUUGAGUGAGAACAGAAUGAGGAACUGUGUGAUAGUACAUACAACAACUGUAGUAAAAAGAAACUUAUGUUUGCAAUUGUUAAUGACAUAGAUACUUGCAUGUUCUUUCAA
Molecule: RNA transcript, 1146 nt
Organism: Triticum aestivum (bread wheat)
Lineage: Eukaryota; Viridiplantae; Streptophyta; Magnoliopsida; Poales; Poaceae
Exons: 5
Source: RefSeq, a predicted model, not a curated record